GGGGGGAAAGCAACUUUGAGCUUCGGUGGAUUUGGCUGGACGUCGAGCGGCGGACGGGUGAGUAACGGCUGGGAACCUGCCCUGACGAGGGGGAUAACCGUUGGAAUUGAUGGAAAAUGUUGCAUAGGGUUUAAGUUCCCCGCCAGCCGGAGCCAAAGGCGCCUUCUAAAUGUAAGCUAUCGGGUUGGGAUGGGCCCAGUUAGGAUUAGCUAGUUGGUAAGGUAAUGGCUUACCAAGGGGACGAUCCUUAGCUGGUUUGAGAGGAUGAUCAGCCACACUGGGACUGAGACACGGCCCAGAUUCUUACGGGAGGCAGCAGUGGGGAAUAUUGCACAAUGGGGGAGACCCUGAUGCAGCCAUGCCGCGUGUGUGAAGAAGGCCUUCGGGUUGUAAAGCACUUUCAGCAGUGAGGAAGGUGGUGUACUUAAUACGUGCAUUGCUUGACGUUAGCUGCAGAAGAAGCACCGGCUAACUCCGUGCCAGCAGCCGCGGUAAUACGGAGGGUGCGAGCGUUAAUCGGAAUUACUGGGCGUAAAGCGCAUGCAGGCGGUUUGUUAAGUCAGAUGUGAAAGCCCGGGGCUCAACCUCGGAACCGCAUUUGAAACUGGCAGGCUAGAGUCUUGUAGAGGGGGGUAGAAUUUCAGGUGUAGCGGUGAAAUGCGUAGAGAUCUGAAGGAAUACCAGUGGCGAAGGCGGCCCCCUGGACAAAGACUGACGCUCAGAUGCGAAAGCGUGGGUAGCAAACAGGAUUAGAUACCCUGGUAGUCCACGCCGUAAACGCUGUCUACUUGGAGGUUGAGGUUUAAGACUUUGGCUUUCGGCGCUAACGCAUUAAGUAGACCGCCUGGGGAGUACGGCCGCAAGGUUAAAACUCAAAUGAAUUGACGGGGGCCCGCACAAGCGGUGGAGCAUGUGGUUUAAUUCGAUGCAACGCGAAGAACCUUACCUACUCUUGACAUCCAGCGAAUCCUUUAGAGAUAGAGGAGUGCCUUCGGGAACGCUGAGACAGGUGCUGCAUGGCUGUCGUCAGCUCGUGUUGUGAAAUGUUGGGUUAAGUCCCGCAACGAGCGCAACCCUUAUCCUUGUUUGCCAGCACAUAAUGGUGGGAACUCCAGGGAGACUGCCGGUGAUAAACCGGAGGAAGGUGGGGACGACGUCAAGUCAUCAUGGCCCUUACGAGUAGGGCUACACACGUGCUACAAUGGCAGAUACAGAGGGCAGCGAAGCUGCGAAGUGGAGCGAAUCCCUUAAAGUCUGUCGUAGUCCGGAUUGGAGUCUGCAACUCGACUCCCAUGAAGUCGGAAUCGCUAGUAAUCGUGAUCAGGAUGCCC
This 1331-nucleotide ribosomal RNA is filed under the name Salinivibrio costicola. RNAcentral describes it as "bacterial SSU rRNA". It matches the Rfam family "Bacterial small subunit ribosomal RNA", at positions 42 to 1359 of the family's 1533-position model. The record is from RNAcentral. Lineage: Bacteria; Pseudomonadati; Pseudomonadota; Gammaproteobacteria; Vibrionales; Vibrionaceae.